Molecule: ribosomal RNA, 468 nt
Filed under: uncultured bacterium
Lineage: Bacteria
Description: partial 16S ribosomal RNA
Rfam family: Bacterial small subunit ribosomal RNA
Source: RNAcentral
GACGAACGCUGGCGGCGUGCUUAACACAUGCCAGUCGAACGGAAAGGCCCUGCUUUUGUGGGGUGCUCGAGUGGCGAACGGGUGAGUAACACGUGAGUAACCUGCCCUUGACUUUGGGAUAACUUCAGGAAACUGGGGCUAAUACCGGAUAGGAGCUCCUGCUGCAUGGUGGGGGUUGGAAAGUUUCGGCGGUUGGGGAUGGACUCGCGGCUUAUCAGCUUGUUGGUGGGGUAGUGGCUUACCAAGGCUUUGACGGGUAGCCGGCCUGAGAGGGUGACCGGCCACAUUGGGACUGAGAUACGGCCCAGACUCCUACGGGAGGCAGCAGUGGGGAAUAUUGCACAAUGGGCGGAAGCCUGAUGCAGCAACGCCGCGUGCGGGAUGACGGCCUUCGGGUUGCAAACCGCUUUCGCCUGUGACGAAGCGUGAGUGACGGUAAUGGGUAAAGAAGCACCGGCUAACUACGUG